CCUACGGGAGGCAGCAGUGGGGAAUAUUGCACAAUGGGGGAAACCCUGAUGCAGCGACGCCGCGUGAGUGAAGAAGUAUUUCGGUCUGUAAAGCUCUAUCAGCAGGGAAGAAAAUGACGGUAACUGAUUAAGAAGCCCCGGCUAACUACGUGCCAGCAGCCGCGGUCAUACGUAGGUGGCAAGCGUUAUCCGGAUUUACUGGGUGUAAAGGGAGCGUCGGCGGCAGCACAAGUCUGGAGUGAAAUGCCGGGGCUUAACCCCGGAACUGCUUUGGAAACUGUGCAGCUAGAGUGCAGGAGAGGUAAGUGGAAUUCCGAGUGUAGCGGUGAAAUGCGUAGAUAUUAGGAGGAACACCAGUGGCGAAGGCGGCUUACUGGACUGUAACUGACGUUGAGGCUCGAAAGCGUGGGGAGCAAACAGGAUUAGAUACCCUUGUAGUC
This 440-nucleotide ribosomal RNA is filed under the name uncultured bacterium. RNAcentral describes it as "partial 16S ribosomal RNA". It matches the Rfam family "Bacterial small subunit ribosomal RNA", at positions 338 to 795 of the family's 1533-position model. The record is from RNAcentral.